AAAAGAAACUAAAUAGGAUUUCCAUAGUAACUGCGAGUGAACUGGAAUUAGCCCAUCACGAAAUCUAUAUUAUAAUAAUAAUAUCGAAAUGUCGUGUAUAGGUUUUAUUAUUAUUAAUAAAUUAUUAUUAAAUAAUUGUAUUUAAAUAUACAGCCACAGAAGGUGCCAGCCCUGUUAUUUAAUAAUAUUUAUUAAAUUUAUAAAACUUUAGAGUCGUGUUGCUUGGAAGUGCAGCACAAAGUUGGUGAUAAACAUCAUCUAAGGCUAAAUAUUCCUAUGAAUCCGAUAGCGAACAAGUACUGUGAAGGAAAAUUGCAAAGUACUCCGGAGAGAGAGUUAAAGAGGACGUGAAACCGAUACGAUGGAAGCAUACAGAGCCAGUUGCACUAUUAUUAAUAUUUUUUAUUAAUAAUUUUAAGCAUGGGUAUAUUGAUUAUUAAUUAGUUAUUUAUUAAAGAGUGAUAAAAUUUUUUAAAUUUUGUUAACUUUAAUAAAAUAAUUAUAUUUAUAAUUAAUAUUUAUUAUUAUUAAUGUAUUAAUAAUAUUUUAAUUAUUAAUAUAAUAUAAGACACAUGUGUUAAAUAUUAUUUAUUGAUAAUUAUUAUAUUAUUAUAAGUUAAUAAACCUAUGUAAUCCUGGUAUGCUGUAUGUCCCGUCUUGAAACACGGACCAAGGAGUGUAUUGCUAUGGCAAGUCAUUGAUAUUAUUAAUAUCAAAGGCAUAAUGAAAAUAA
This 733-nucleotide ribosomal RNA is filed under the name Strongyloides stercoralis. Its description in RNAcentral is "eukaryotic LSU rRNA". It matches the Rfam family "Eukaryotic large subunit ribosomal RNA", at positions 57 to 728 of the family's 3401-position model. Lineage: Eukaryota; Metazoa; Nematoda; Chromadorea; Rhabditida; Strongyloididae. The record is from RNAcentral.